AACGUAAGAGACUUCAACCCCCGUCCAAGAAGAAUGGAGUUGUUGCUUCUGUACAUUUUCAGUGGUGGAAGAGACCCUCUGGAGUUGCUGCAGUAUAUCUGGGGCUGCUGUGUGUUCUCCUACUGGCUGGGAUCAUAGGCCUGUCUGUCUACUAUGGAGUCAUUGGUCAUCAUGCCUCAACAGAGAGAGACCAGCUACAGGACAGCAACACUCCAGAU
Molecule: long non-coding RNA, 218 nt
Organism: Salvelinus sp. IW2-2015
Lineage: Eukaryota; Metazoa; Chordata; Actinopteri; Salmoniformes; Salmonidae
Source: RefSeq, a predicted model, not a curated record